This is a long non-coding RNA of Paramacrobiotus metropolitanus, 646 nucleotides long. RefSeq lists it as uncharacterized. The transcript has 3 exons. Lineage: Eukaryota; Metazoa; Tardigrada; Eutardigrada; Parachela; Macrobiotidae. The record is from RefSeq and is a predicted model, not a curated record.
CUGUCGUACAGUAAUUUUGUUGGGAGCUUUGCACGUCUGCACGCGCAUGUCAAACUUUUUUUUCAGCCAACCCAUCUCGUACUUACAAGUCUGCAGAUUAUUAAUUUUCUAAAUUGAAAUUUGUGGACGAACAAAGGUCACGUCUGAAAAAAAUUUUUGUCCGAGGAAUCUGUUAAACUUUGAUUUGUGUUGAUUUAUUUAAGUAAUGUUUUGCCUUACCGCUAACUCGUUAAUUUUGAAUUUUUUAUUUGGAACUGGAAUUUUGGCACUCUAAAAUCUUAAACAUCUCCAGUUUCCUAUGCUGUGGGCUCGCCGAAAAUUUUAUGGAGUUGGAAAACUAAGUGGAAGUGCGCAAGGUUCCGGAAAAGUUGUGAAUGGUUUAUCCAAUAGCUGGCCGAAAAAGAGCGGACGCCGGUCGGACGUUCUCCAGCAUCAAAUAUUGCCGCAACAACGUAUCACUGGCUUGCCAAUUCCACACUGCCUCGAAAUCCUUCACAUCCAUCUCCAUGUUCAUACCCGGGGUCACUUAAGUUGCGCGAGUGGACUGCAAAGAUUGGGAAGAAUUAUGAAUCGAAAUAAAGAGUGGGAAGUGAAGAGAGCGUUAGGGCUGCUAAGCUACUUGAUAGGGAUAGGAGAGGCCGCAGAU